GUCUUGCUAAAUUGACAAGGCUGGCCUCAAAUUUGCAAUUCUCCCGCCUCAGCCUUCUGAGUCACUGGACUCAGGUAUGUACAGAUGGGUACCACUGUGCCUGGUCAAAGAACCCUUCCCUCUCUGCUUCUAGUACUGGGCAUCAAACCCAGGGCCUUGUCCAUGCUAGGUAAGUGCUCUACCACUGAGCUAUAUUCCCAGCUCCUAAAAGUUUUAAAACACAUCCAGAGUUGUAACCCCAGUGAUUCAGGAGGCUAAUGCAGGAGAAUCACAAGUUUGAUGUCAUCCUGGCCAACUUAAUGAGAACCUUUCUCAAAAUAAAAAAAUAGGGCUGGGAUUGUGGCUCAGUGGUAGAGCGUGCACCUAGCAGAUGCAAGGCCCUGGGCUUGAUCCUCAGCACCACAUAAAAAUAAAUAAAAUUAAAGUAUUGUGUCCAACUACAACCAAAAAAUAAAUAUUAAAAAAAUAAAAGGACUGGGGAUGUAAUUCAGUAGUAAAGUUCAAUCUCCAGAACCAGGGGGGAAAAAAUAAUAUAUUAACUCUCUGCCACUAUUUAAUUCCAGAACAUCUGCCUCACCUCCCUUACCCCAAAACACCCAUAGCCAUAAGCAAUCCCUUCCUAUUUUCCCUUUUCAUCAAAUUCUGGAAACCAACCACUAAUUCUGUCUUAACGGAUUUCUCUAUUCUAGACAUUUUAUGUAAAUGGAAGCAUAAAUAUGUGGUGUUUUGCAUUUGGUUUCUUUUCCUUGCUGUCUUUAAGGUUCAUCCAUACUGUAGUACUUCUUUUUUUGGGGGGUUACUGGGGCACUUAACAACUGAGUUAUAUCCCCAGCCCUUUCUUAUGUUUUAUUUAAAUUUAGGGUCUCACUGAGUUGUUUAGGUCUCACUAAAUUACUGAGGCUGGCUUUGAACUCAUGAUACUUCUGCCUCAGCCUCCCAAGCAACUUGGAUCAUAGGCCUACACCACUGAGCCUGGCCUUCAUUCAUUUUCAUAGUUAAAUAAUGUUCCCUUGUAUAAAUAUACCACAUUUUGUUUAUCCAUUCAUUGGUUGGUGACCACUUGGGUUGUUUUACAUUUUGGCUAUUGUGAAUAAUGCCACUAUACAUAUCAGUAUAUCUGUUUGAUUGCCUGUUUUCAAUUCUUUGGGGUAUAUAUGAAGGGGUAGAAUUACUGGGUUAUAGAUAACUAUAAUAAAUUAUAGUUAUUAAUUUUCUGAGGAGCUAUCAGACUGAUUUCCAAAGUGGCUGAAUCAUUUUACAUUCCUACCAGGACUAUAUAUGGGUUCCAAUUUCUCCAUAUCAUCACUAACAUUUAUUACUGUCUUUUUGAUUAUGGUUAUCCUAGUGGGUGUAAAGUGGUCAUUUCCCAAGUAACUAAUGAUAAAUUAUUUUUUGGCUAUUUGUAUUUCUUCCUUGGAGAAAUGUCUAUUCAAGUCCUUUUGCCCAUUUUUUAGCUGACUUAUUUUUCUUUUUAGUUAUGAGUUCUUAUAUAUUUUAGAUAUAAAUCCCUUGUCAGAUAAUCAACUUGUUUUGAAAAAGGUGCAAAAGCAUUUCAAUGGCAGAAGGAUGGCCAUUUCAAUGAAUAAUGUUGGAGCAACUUCAAGUCCACAGGCGUGAAAAGCACAUACUACCUAAAUUACAAGUAAUGAGAAAAAAAUUUGAUAAGCUAGAGUUAAAUACUUUUAUUUUGCAAAAAGCCCUGUUAACAAAGUAGCAAAAUAUGAAGUCAAUACCCGUAAAUCAAAUACACUUCUAUACAUCAGCAAUGAAUCCUCUUUUUAAAAAUUUUUUUUUAAAGAGAGAGAGAGAAAGAAUUUUUAAUAUUUAUUUUUUUAGUUUUCGGCGGACACAACAUCUUUGUUUGUAUGUGGUGCUAAGGAUCGAACCCGGGGCUGCAUGCAUGCCAGGCGAGCGCGAUACCGCUUCAGCCACAUCCCCAGCCCAGCAAUGAAUCCUCUGAAAGAGAAAUUAGGAAAACUAUACCAUUCACAAUAGCCUCAAAAACAAACCAAAAACCAACAACAACAUCAAAAAAACUUGGGAAUCAAUUUAACCAAAGAGGUGAAAGACUGCUACAAUGAAAACUACAGAAUACUAAAGAAAGAAAUUGAAGAAGACCUUAGAAGAUGGAAAGAUCUCCCAUGUUCUUGGAUAGGAAAAUUAAUAUUGUCAAAAUGGCCAUACUACCAAAAGCACUAUUCAGAUUCAAUGUGAUUCCAAUUAAAGUUCCAACAUCAUUCCUCAUAGAAACAGAAAAAGCAAUCAUAAUAUUCGUUUGGAAAAAUAAGAGACUCAGAAUAGCCAAAGUAAUCCUUAGCAAGAAGAGUGAAGCAGGAGCCAUCACAAAACGACCUUAAACUAUACUACAAAGCUAUGGCAACAAAAACAGCAUGGUAUUGGCACUGAAAUAGACAUGUAGACCAAUGGUACAAAAAAGAAGACAUAAAGACAAACCUAGUUAUCUCAUAUGAGACAAAGGUGCCAAAACCAUACAUUGGAGAAAAGAUAGCCUAUUCCAAGAAACAGUGCUAUGAAAACUGGAAAUCCAUAUGCAACAAAAUGAAAUUAAAUCCCUAUCUCUCACAUGCACAAAACUCAACUCAAAGUGGAUCAAGGACCUAGGAAUUAGAUCAGAGACCCUGCGCCAAAUAGCAGAAAAAAAUAGGCCCAAAUCUUCAUCAUGUCAGAUUAGGCCCUGACUUCCUUAACAAGACUCCUAAAGCACAAGACGUAAAAUCAAGAAUCAAUAAGUGGGAUGCAUUCAAACUAAAAAGUUUCUUCUCAGCAAAAAACACAAUCAAUUAGGUGAAGGUAGAGCCUACAGAAUGGGAGCAAACUUUUACCACAUGCCCAAUAGACAGAGCACUAAUCUCCAGGAUAUAUAAAGAACUCAAAAAAAACUUUAACACCAAACAAACAAAUAGCCCAUUGGGCUAAAGAAUUGAACAGACACUUAUCAGAAUAAGAUAUACAAUUGGUCAACAAACAUGUGAAAAAGUGUUCAACAACUUUAGGAAUUAGAGAAAUGCAAAUCAAAAAUUCAUCUCCCUCCAGUUAGAAUGGCAGUUAUCAAGAAUACAAGCAACAAUAAGUGUUGGUGAGGAUGUGGGGAAAAGGCACACUCAUACAUUGCUGGUAGGACUGGAAAGUGGUGCAACCAAUCUGGAAAGCAGUAUGGAGCUUCCUUAGAAAACUUGGAAUGGAACCACCAUUUGACCCAGCUAUCCUACUCCUCAGUCUAUACCCAAAGGACUUAAAAACAGCAUACUAUGGGGAUGCAGCCACAUUAAUGUUUAUAGCAGCACAAUUCCCAACAGCUAAACUGUGGAACCAACCAUGCCCUUCAAUAGAUGAAUGGAUAAAGAAAAUGUGGUAAAUAUACACAAUGGAGUAUUACUCAGCAUUAAAAGAGAAUAAAAUUCUGGUAUUUGCAGGCAAAUGAACGGAGUUGGAGAAUAUCACACUGAGUGAAGUAAGCCAAUCCCAAGAAACCAAAGGCUGAAUGCUUUCUCUGAUAAGUUGAUGCUGAUCCACAAUGGGGGCGGGGGCAUGGGAUGAAUGGAGGAACUUUGGAUUGGGAAGGUAAGGGCGGGUAAUAAGGGCAGGAAAGAUGGUGGAAUGAGAUAGACAUAAUUACCCUAGGUACAUGUAUGAUUGCAUGAAUGGUGUGACUCUACUUCACGUACAACCAGAGAAGUGAAAAAUUGUGCUCUAUUCAUUUACAAUGAAUAGUAGUGUAUUCUGCUGUCAUGUAUAACUAAUUAGAACAACAAUAACAACAACAACAACAAAAAAGCCCUGUUAAGAUGAAAAGCUGGGAGAAUAUAUUUGCAUACCUUUUUAUUUUAUAGAUUUAUUAUGAUUGAGUUAUAUGAGUUCAGAUACAGACUUGCAAAUAUUUUCCUCCCUAUGGGUUGUCCUUUCACUUUCUUGAUAAUGUCUUUUGAAGCAUAAUAGUCUAAUAUUUUGCUAACUUCAAUUUAUCUAUUUGUUUCCUUAGGUUGCAUGUACUUUAGUUGUUAUAUCUAAGAAUCCAUUGCCUAAUCCAAGGUAAUGAUGAUUUAUAUACUUAUGUUUACUUCUGAGAGUCUCAUAUUAUUAAGUGAUAUAUUUGCCUUGAUACAUUAAGACAAAUGAACAGAGAAAAUAAAAAUAACCUAACUAUAUGCUGUCUAUAAAAAAACUUACUUCAAAUAUAAUUAUAUAGGUAGACUAAAGAUAAAAGGAUAGAAAGAGACAUACCAUACAAACAUUAACUAAAAGGAAGCUGGAGUCACUAUAUUAUCAAAGACUUUGAAGCAGGACCAGGUGCAGUGGUGCAUGCCUACAAUUCUAGAGCCUGGGGAGGCUGAGACAGAAGGAUCGUGAGUUUGAAGCCAACCUCAGCAACCACAAGGCAGGUGCCAAACAAUUCAAUGAGGCCCUUUCUCUAAAUAAAAUACAAAACAGGGCUGUGGUUCAGUGGUUGAGUGCCCCUGAGUUCAAUCCCUGGCAAUCCCUCCCCGCCAACACACACAAUAAAAAGACACUGAAGCAAAGAAAAUUAUCAGGGAUGAACAGGGAUCUUGAUAAAAGGGUAAAUCACCAAGACAUAAAAAUCCUAAAUGUGUAACAGCCUAA
Molecule: long non-coding RNA, 4620 nt
Filed under: Marmota monax (woodchuck)
Lineage: Eukaryota; Metazoa; Chordata; Mammalia; Rodentia; Sciuridae
Rfam family: tRNA (bases 334-402)
Source: RNAcentral